GCACAAGCGGUGGAUGAUGUGGUUUAAUUCGAUGCAACGCGAAAACCUUACCCACCUUUGACAUGGCAGGAAUCCCGAAGAGAUUUGGGAGUGCUCGAAAGAGAACCUGCACACAGGUGUUGCAUGGCUGUCGUCAGCUCGUGUCGUGAGAUGUUGGGUUAAGUCCCGCAACGAGCGCAACCCUUGCCAUUAGUUGCUACGAAAGGGCACUCUAAUGGGACUGCCGGUGACAAACCGGAGGAAGGUGGGGAUGACGUCAAGUCCUCAUGGCCCUUAUAGGUGGGGCUACACACGUCAUACAAUGGCCGGUACAGAGGGUAGCCAACCCGCGAGGGGGGAGCCAAUCCCACAAAGCCGGUCGUAGUCCGGAUCGCAGUCUGCAACUCGACUGCGUGAAGUCGGAAUCGCUAGUAAUCGCGGAUCAGCAUGUCGCGGUGAAUACGUUCCCGGGUCUU
RNAcentral lists this ribosomal RNA (455 nucleotides) under uncultured Allobrachymonas sp. Its description in RNAcentral is "bacterial SSU rRNA". It matches the Rfam family "Bacterial small subunit ribosomal RNA", at positions 923 to 1382 of the family's 1533-position model. Lineage: Bacteria; Pseudomonadati; Pseudomonadota; Betaproteobacteria; Burkholderiales; Comamonadaceae. The record is from RNAcentral.